GGACGAACGGCUGGCGGCGUGCUUAACACAUGCAAGUCGAACGAAGCGGCAGUGAAGGAGGCUUCGGCCAAUGGAUCUGUUGACUUAGUGGCGGACGGGUGAGUAACGCGUGAGCAACCUGCCUUUCAGAGGGGGAUAACGUUUGGAAACGAACGCUAAUACCGCAUAAAGUAAUUUCGCUGCAUGACGAGAUUACCAAAGGAGCAAUCCGCUGAAAGAUGGGCUCGCGUCCGAUUAGAUAGUUGGUGGGGUAACGGCCUACCAAGUCGACGAUCGGUAGCCGGACUGAGAGGUUGAACGGCCACAUUGGGACUGAGACACGGCCCAGACUCCUACGGGAGGCAGCAGUGGGGAAUAUUGCACAAUGGGCGCAAGCCUGAUGCAGCAACGCCGCGUGAGGGAGGACGGUUUUCGGAUUGUAAACCUCUGUCCUUGGUGAAGAUCAUGACGGUAGCCGAGGAGGAAGCCACGGCUAACUACGUGCCAGCCGCCGC
RNAcentral lists this ribosomal RNA (494 nucleotides) under uncultured bacterium. RNAcentral's name for it is "bacterial SSU rRNA". It matches the Rfam family "Bacterial small subunit ribosomal RNA", at positions 35 to 518 of the family's 1533-position model. The record is from RNAcentral.